Molecule: ribosomal RNA, 460 nt
Filed under: uncultured bacterium
Lineage: Bacteria
Description: partial 16S ribosomal RNA
Rfam family: Bacterial small subunit ribosomal RNA
Source: RNAcentral
CCUACGGGAGGCAGCAGUGAGGAAUAUUGCUCAAUGGGCGCGAGCCUGAAGCAGCCACGUAGCGUGAAGGAUGACUGCACUACGGGUGGUAAACUUCUUUUAUAAAGGAGUAAAGUGAGGCACGUGUGCCUGUUUGUAUGUACUUUAUGAAUACGGAUCGGCUAGCUCCGUGCCAGCAGCCGCGGUAAUACGGAGGAUCCGAGUGUUAUCCGGAUUUAUUGGGUUUAAAGGGAGCGUAGUUGGGUUGUUAAGUCAGUUGUGAAAGUUUGCGGCUCAACCGUAAGAUUGCAAUUGAUACUGGCAGUCUUGAGUGCAGGUGAGGUAGGCGGAAUUCGUGGUGUAGCGGUGAAAUGCGUAGAUAUCACGAAGAACUCCGAUUGCGAAGGCAGCUUACUAAACUGCCACUGACAUUGAUGCUCGAAAGUGUGGGUAUCAAACAGGAUUAGAUACCCGUGUAGUC